RNAcentral lists this unclassified non-coding RNA (1306 nucleotides) under uncultured Neocallimastigales. RNAcentral's name for it is "partial contains small subunit ribosomal RNA, internal transcribed spacer 1, 5.8S ribosomal RNA, internal transcribed spacer 2, and large subunit ribosomal RNA". The stretch from base 606 to 1306 matches the Rfam family "Eukaryotic large subunit ribosomal RNA", at positions 1 to 632 of the family's 3401-position model. Lineage: Eukaryota; Fungi; Neocallimastigomycota; Neocallimastigomycetes; Neocallimastigales. The record is from RNAcentral.
UUCCGUAGGUGAACCUGCGGAAGGAUCAUUAAAAAAUAUCACAUUUGUUUGUGAUUUAAUAAUCAUCCUACCCUUUGUGAAUUUGUUUUUGCUUGAAUUUAUGUUGUAUAUCCUGGAUUAUGAAAGAAAAGUUGUAAAAGACUUUUUUUUCAUUCUAGGGAAUAGGCUUUCAUAGACAUUUUUUUAAAUUAAACUUUUGUAUUCAUUUGUCCAAAAUUUAUUUUUAAAUAAUUUAAAAACAACUUUUGACAAUGGAUCUCUUGGUUCUCGCAACGAUGAAGAACGCAGCAAAAUGCGAUAAGUAAUGUGAAUUGCAGAAUACGUGAAUCAUCAAAUUUUCGAACGCAUAUUGCACUUUUUAGUUUACUAAAAAGUAUGUCUGUUUGAGUAUCAGUAAAAUAUUCUCAUAAAAACUAUUGUUUUAUGGUUAUGAGUGUUUUACAACGAUAACAAGUUGUUUUACUUUAAAUUGAUUUUUUUAAUAAGCCAAUUUGGUUUUAUUUUAAAAUUGGAUAAAUUUUCCCGUAAAAAGGAAUAAACUUUUCAGUUUUAAAGUUAAAACUUAAAUUGACCUACAAAAAGGAAAUUUAAUUAUAAAACUAACUUGAUCUCAAAUCAGAUAAGAGUACCCGCUGAACUUAAGCAUAUCAAUAAGCGGAGGAAAGAAACUAACAAGGAUUCCCUUAGUAACGGCGAGUGAAGCGGAAGAGCUCAAAUUUGAAAUCUUCAAGUUCUACCUUGACGAAUUGUAGUUUAAAGAAGUGUUUCUGUUAGUGGAGUGGCAAAGUUCUUGGAAUAGACAUCAUAGAGGUGAGAAUCCGUAUUUGGUCAUUCCUUCUAGCUUUGUGAUACACUUUCAAAGAGUCGAUUGUUUGGGAAUGCAGUCCAAAAUGGGUGGUAAAUUUCAUCUAAAGCUAAAUAUUGGCGAGAGACCGAUAGCGAACAAGUACCGUGAGGAAAGAUGAAAGAACUUUGAAAAGAGAGUUAAACAGUACGUGAAAUUGUCAAAGGAAGCGUUUGACACCAGUGUUGUUUUCCGAAAUCAAUUAUAAUGUUUGUUUCUGAGGAGUGAUAACUUCAUCGGCUUCCUUCUCUCUUCACGAAACUUUUGUAAUGCACUUUUCGGUUAACAAGUCAACAUCAAUUUCUUUUGUUGUAAAAGAGUAUUCGGAAGGUGCUUUCUUUCGGAGUAAGUGUUUAUAGCCUAUACUUCUACAAUCGGAGAGAUUGAGGUCUGCAGCGUAGAUCUUCGGGUUAGAUACACUUGUGCUAAGUUAUAGCUUUCAUAGACAACUUGUUGACUAUG